CCCUGGUUAGCUCACUUGGUAAAGCGCUCCACUAAAAAUGGAGAGGUCCCGGGGUUCGAUACCCGGACGAGGCG
Molecule: transfer RNA, 74 nt
Filed under: Ixodes scapularis (black-legged tick)
Lineage: Eukaryota; Metazoa; Arthropoda; Arachnida; Ixodida; Ixodidae
Rfam family: tRNA
About the family: Transfer RNA (tRNA) molecules are approximately 80 nucleotides in length.
Source: Rfam by way of RNAcentral